This is a long non-coding RNA of Anastrepha obliqua, 1436 nucleotides long. RefSeq lists it as uncharacterized. Lineage: Eukaryota; Metazoa; Arthropoda; Insecta; Diptera; Tephritidae. The record is from RefSeq and is a predicted model, not a curated record. The transcript has 3 exons.
UUGGGCGUUAACGGCGGCAACGGUAAUUCGCUGUCAUCGAAAUCCUCCGCCGAGCCGUAUAGGUCCUCAUCGUCUGGCUGAUAUGUGACUUUGACUUGCUUCAUUUUUAACACGUCAUUGGUGUCGGCAUCGUUGUUGCCACCACCGGCAUGUUUGCCUGCAGGAUUUUUACGAUUCGGACCGGGAAUUUCUGUGUGGCGAGUGCGCGUAAGAUUGAGCGUAGAGCCAUGAAACGAAAUAUAUAAAAUAACAAACUGUAAGCGAAUAUAAGUGUAAAGAAACUCUAUAACAGCAGAUGAAGUAAAAGUAAAAAGUGAAGAAAGUAAAGCGCAAAAAGAAAACAAAACACAAAAACAACAAGGGUGAGUAAAUUCGCGCGAAUGUUAAUCAAGGUUGGCCCUAACUCUCGCGCUUCAUUUUACGGCCAUCAACGUGGGCAGAACAUUACCAACAUAAUUGAAAUAAAGUCAAAAGUAUCAGGAGAAGUUACUUAAAAUAUAUAUUAUAUAAAAAUAAAAAAAUAAAAAAGAGCAAAUAAAAAAAAAAAAAAAAUACACAUAAGUAAAUGCCCUGCAGCCAAUAAAAAGCGUAAUUUGAUGGCGGAAUAGUGUAUUUUAAACUCACCAUAAAGUCUUAUGCUACUAUCUACCUCACCAAGUGAAUUCUUCGCUAUGCAGCGAUACGAGCCGACAUCGUCUUUUUGGAAUUUACGCACAAUCAUUGUCAUCUUCGUCUCAUACAUGGAUUUUGAGGAUUCCUGUACAUGAUAUUUUGAUGAGGACACAAUCAUUUCACCUGUUGAUGAAAGAUACAAAUGAAUGCAUGCGUAUGCACAUUUAUUUAUAUGUGGUGGCGGCUUUAUAAUAAUUGCGAGAGCUGCAUAACGACAUAGAGGAAAAUUCUUAGUCAUGCAAGAGCAUCAUAUAAAAGAUGCUACUUACGGGAACUGGUAAGGAUACACAACAGGUGUCUCUGAACCUUAGCACACAGUUAUAAAAAUAACCACUUAGUGAAUCACAUGAAUGUAUGUGCCAUAAUACCAAUUAGCGUGAUUGCGUGUCUGGACGCUAACUUCCUGCCAUAGCUGUCAAAGUACAUACCCAAACAAACUUAUAUUGUUGCACGGAAAUAAAAAUUCUCACAUGACGUCCACCUUGAUGGGCGCAUAAAAAUCACCUUUUAAUAAACAGCAAAGACAACUACCCAACAACUUAUGGCCACAUAAAUUGGUAGCAACAAAUGAGCGAAAAGCACAUUACCGGCAAUGUAGCCGGGAAAUUUACGCCCAACAAAGACGAGGAGUGCUGGUGGAAGAAAAUUCUAUAGGAAAUAGUUGGCAGCUGUGAAAAAAGGAAAAAAGCAAAUAAUUUGCUACUUUCUUGUAGCCCACAAACAGGAGUUAUAAAUAUCUUGAGAAAGAUGUGUAGGUAUCCAAG